UACAGAGGUCUCAAGCGUUGUUCGGAUUCAUUGGGCGUAAAGGGCGCGUAGGCGGUGACGCAAGUCUGGUGUGAAAUCUCGGAGCUCAACUCCGAAAUUGCACUGGAUACUGCGUGACUCGAGGACUGUAGAGGAGAUCGGAAUUCACGGUGUAGCAGUGAAAUGCGUAGAUAUCGUGAGGAAGACCAGUUGCGAAGGCGGAUCUCUGGGAAGUUCCUGACGCUGAGGCACGAAGGCCAGGGGAGCAAACGGG
Molecule: ribosomal RNA, 253 nt
Filed under: uncultured bacterium
Lineage: Bacteria
Description: partial 16S ribosomal RNA
Rfam family: Bacterial small subunit ribosomal RNA
Source: RNAcentral